Molecule: ribosomal RNA, 96 nt
Filed under: uncultured bacterium
Lineage: Bacteria
Description: partial 16S ribosomal RNA
Source: RNAcentral
CCGCCCGUCACACCACGAAAGCUGAGUGCAACCGAAGUCGGUGAUUCAACCCGCAAGGGAGAUAGCCGCCGAAGUUGUGAUCGAGUGAUUGGGGUG